RNAcentral lists this ribosomal RNA (394 nucleotides) under Stramenopiles sp. MAST-1A. RNAcentral describes it as "partial small subunit ribosomal RNA". It matches the Rfam family "Eukaryotic small subunit ribosomal RNA", at positions 582 to 975 of the family's 1831-position model. The record is from RNAcentral.
AUUCCAGCUCCAAUAGCGUAUAUUAAAGUUGUUGCAGUUAAAAAGCUCGUAGUUGGAUUUCUGGCUGGAGCGAUCGGUCCGCCCCGCAAGGGGUGUGCACUAGCGUCGUCUCCGACCAUCCUUGUGGGAACUGUGCGGCCGUUAACUCGGUUGUAUAUGGGAACACAUCGUUUACUGUGAAAAAAUUAGAGUGUUUAAAGCAGGCUUAAGCCGUUGAAUACAUUAGCAUGGAAUAAUAAGAUAAGACUUGGGUCAUUAUUUUGUUGGUUUGCGGAUCGAGGUAAUGAUUAAUAGGGAUAGUUUGGGGUAUUCAUAUUUAAUUGUCAGAGGUGAAAUUCCUGGAUUUAUGAAAGAUGAACUUAGGCGAAAGCAUUUACCAAGGAUGUUUUCAUUG